CACCAAUGGAGUCAGGAGGGAAUAUUCAAUGUUCUUUGUGGUACAUUGUGUGGUAUUUUCUCUCUGACCUACAGUGGCAAGGGAAAA
RNAcentral lists this long non-coding RNA (87 nucleotides) under Anas platyrhynchos platyrhynchos (common mallard). RNAcentral's name for it is "lncRNA (ENSAPLG00000023892.1)". Lineage: Eukaryota; Metazoa; Chordata; Aves; Anseriformes; Anatidae. The record is from RNAcentral.